RNAcentral lists this ribosomal RNA (253 nucleotides) under uncultured bacterium. Its description in RNAcentral is "partial 16S ribosomal RNA". It matches the Rfam family "Bacterial small subunit ribosomal RNA", at positions 524 to 776 of the family's 1533-position model. The record is from RNAcentral.
UACGUAGGGUGCGAGCGUUAUUCGGAAUUACUGGGCGUAAAGCGUGCGUAGGCGGUUUUGUAAGUCAGGUGUGAAAUCCCCGGGCUUAACCUGGGAACUGCGCUUGUGACUGCAAGACUCGAGUACGGCAGAGGGGGGUAGAAUUCCACGUGUAGCAGUGAAAUGCGUAGAGAUGUGGAGGAAUACCGAUGGCGAAGGCAGCCCCCUGGGUCGAUACUGACGCUCAUGCACGAAAGCGUGGGGAGCAAACAGG